GACGUGCUAAUCUGCGAUAAGCGUCGGUAAGGUGAUAUGAACCGUUAUAACCGGCGAUUUCCGAAUGGGGAAACCCAGUGUGUUUCGACACACUAUCAUUAACUGAAUCCAUAGGUUAAUGAGGCGAACCGGGGGAACUGAAACAUCUAAGUACCCCGAGGAAAAGAAAUCAACCGAGAUUCCCCCAGUAGCGGCGAGCGAACGGGGAGCAGCCCAGAGCCUGAAUCAGUGUGUGUGUUAGUGGAAGCGUCUGGAAAGGCGCGCGAUACAGGGUGACAGCCCCGUACACAAAAAUGCACAUGCUGUGAGCUCGAUGAGUAGGGCGGGACACGUGGUAUCCUGUCUGAAUAUGGGGGGACCAUCCUCCAAGGCUAAAUACUCCUGACUGACCGAUAGUGAACCAGUACCGUGAGGGAAAGGCGAAAAGAACCCCGGCGAGGGGAGUGAAAAAGAACCUGAAACCGUGUACGUACAAGCAGUGGGAGCACGCUUAGGCGUGUGACUGCGUACCUUUUGUAUAAUGGGUCAGCGACUUAUAUUCUGUAGCAAGGUUAACCGAAUAGGGGAGCCGAAGGGAAACCGAGUCUUAACUGGGCGUUAAGUUGCAGGGUAUAGACCCGAAACCCGGUGAUCUAGCCAUGGGCAGGUUGAAGGUUGGGUAACACUAACUGGAGGACCGAACCGACUAAUGUUGAAAAAUUAGCGGAUGACUUGUGGCUGGGGGUGAAAGGCCAAUCAAACCGGGAGAUAGCUGGUUCUCCCCGAAAGCUAUUUAGGUAGCGCCUCGUGAAUUCAUCUCCGGGGGUAGAGCACUGUUUCGGCAAGGGGGUCAUCCCGACUUACCAACCCGAUGCAAACUGCGAAUACCGGAGAAUGUUAUCACGGGAGACACACGGCGGGUGCUAACGUCCGUCGUGAAGAGGGAAACAACCCAGACCGCCAGCUAAGGUCCCAAAGUCAUGGUUAAGUGGGAAACGAUGUGGGAAGGCCCAGACAGCCAGGAUGUUGGCUUAGAAGCAGCCAUCAUUUAAAGAAAGCGUAAUAGCUCACUGGUCGAGUCGGCCUGCGCGGAAGAUGUAACGGGGCUAAACCAUGCACCGAAGCUGCGGCAGCGACGCUGAUGCGUUGUUGGGUAGGGGAGCGUUCUGUAAGCCUGCGAAGGUGUGCUGUGAGGCAUGCUGGAGGUAUCAGAAGUGCGAAUGCUGACAUAAGUAACGAUAAAGCGGGUGAAAAGCCCGCUCGCCGGAAGACCAAGGGUUCCUGUCCAACGUUAAUCGGGGCAGGGUGAGUCGACCCCUAAGGCGAGGCCGAAAGGCGUAGUCGAUGGGAAACAGGUUAAUAUUCCUGUACUUGGUGUUACUGCGAAGGGGGGACGGAGAAGGCUAUGUUGGCCGGGCGACGGUUGUCCCGGUUUAAGCGUGUAGGCUGGUUUUCCAGGCAAAUCCGGAAAAUCAAGGCUGAGGCGUGAUGACGAGGCACUACGGUGCUGAAGCAACAAAUGCCCUGCUUCCAGGAAAAGCCUCUAAGCAUCAGGUAACAUCAAAUCGUACCCCAAACCGACACAGGUGGUCAGGUAGAGAAUACCAAGGCGCUUGAGAGAACUCGGGUGAAGGAACUAGGCAAAAUGGUGCCGUAACUUCGGGAGAAGGCACGC
RNAcentral lists this ribosomal RNA (1654 nucleotides) under Escherichia coli. Its description in RNAcentral is "partial 23S ribosomal RNA". It matches the Rfam family "Bacterial large subunit ribosomal RNA", at positions 55 to 1751 of the family's 2925-position model. Lineage: Bacteria; Pseudomonadati; Pseudomonadota; Gammaproteobacteria; Enterobacterales; Enterobacteriaceae. The record is from RNAcentral.